GCAGUCGACGGCUGUAGCAAUACAGCAGUGGCAGACGGGUGAGUAACACGUGGGAACCUACCUAGGGGUACGGAAUAACUCAGGGAAACUUGUGCUAAUACCGUAUACGACCUCAGGGUGAAAGAUUUAUCGCCCCUAGAUGGGCCCGCGCUGGAUUAGCUAGUUGGUGGGGUAAAAGCCUACCAAGGCGACGAUCCAUAGCUGGUCUGAGAGGAUGAUCAGCCACACUGGGACUGAGACACGGCCCAGACUCCUACGGGAGGCAGCAGUAGGGAAUCUUGGACAAUGGGCGAAAGCCUGAUCCAGCCAUGCCGCGUGAGUGAUGAAGGCCUUAGGGUUGUAAAGCUCUUUCGCCAGGGAAGAUAAUGACGGUACCUGGAUAAGAAGCCCCGGCUAACUUCGUGCCAGCAGCCGCGGUAAUACGAAGGGGGCUAGCGUUGUUCGGAAUUACUGGGCGUAAAGCGCACGUAGGCGGCAUUCCAAGUUGGAGGUGAAAUCCCCGGGCUUAACCUGGGAACUGCCUCCAAAACUGGGAAGCUAGAGUCCGAGAGAGGUGAGUGGAAUUUCCAGUGUAGAGGUGAAAUUCGUAGAUAUUGGAAAGAACACCAGUGGCGAAGGCGGCUCACUGGCUCGGUACUGACGCUGAGGUG
Molecule: ribosomal RNA, 650 nt
Filed under: uncultured bacterium
Lineage: Bacteria
Description: bacterial SSU rRNA
Rfam family: Bacterial small subunit ribosomal RNA
Source: RNAcentral